Molecule: small RNA, 330 nt
Filed under: Histoplasma ohiense
Lineage: Eukaryota; Fungi; Ascomycota; Eurotiomycetes; Onygenales; Ajellomycetaceae
Description: hypothetical lncRNA
Source: RNAcentral
AUGAAUGAUUUGAUGAUCUUAGAUAUUCUAUGCCUGGAGCUGGCAUCAUCUUCACUAUAAAAUAUCAAGAUAUAUCAUGACAUAUCUUAGGGUUAGAAUUAUGUGAACAGUGCAGUUGGCAUGACACUCAAUAAAAGCAUGAUUGCAUUCUGAAUCCAUGGGUUGUUUGAACAGUUGAGGUUGAUACAGUUUUUAUCAACAAUACAGUCUGUGCAGUCAGCACAUCUGAUCAGUUCAGUCUACAGUCUCACUCUGAUGUGCAUUCCUCAGAGAAUCAGAAUUGUGUGUCUGUUCAGAGAUGAGGGCAAAUUUAGAGAGUUUACAGAUGAU